This 67-nucleotide transfer RNA is filed under the name bovine gut metagenome. It matches the Rfam family "tRNA". Rfam says of the family: Transfer RNA (tRNA) molecules are approximately 80 nucleotides in length. Their secondary structure includes four short double-helical elements and three loops (D, anti-codon, and T loops). The record is from RNAcentral.
UGGUGUAGCUCAGUUGGUAGAGCAGCUGAUUCGUAAUCAGCAGGUCGCCGGUUCGAGUCCGGCCACC